UACGAAGGGGGCUAGCGUUGCUCGGAAUCACUGGGCGUAAAGGGUGCGUAGGCGGGUUUUUAAGUCAGAGGUGAAAUCCUGGAGCUCAACUCCAGAACUGCCUUUGAUACUGAAGAUCUUGAGUUCGGGAGAGGUGAGUGGAACUGCGAGUGUAGAGGUGAAAUUCGUAGAUAUUCGCAAGAACACCAGUGGCGAAGGCGGCUCACUGGCCCGGAACUGACGCUGAGGUGCGAAAGCGUGGGGAGCAAACAGG
RNAcentral lists this ribosomal RNA (253 nucleotides) under uncultured bacterium. RNAcentral's name for it is "partial 16S ribosomal RNA". It matches the Rfam family "Bacterial small subunit ribosomal RNA", at positions 524 to 776 of the family's 1533-position model. The record is from RNAcentral.